RNAcentral lists this ribosomal RNA (449 nucleotides) under uncultured bacterium. RNAcentral describes it as "partial 16S ribosomal RNA". It matches the Rfam family "Bacterial small subunit ribosomal RNA", at positions 29 to 523 of the family's 1533-position model. The record is from RNAcentral.
AACGAACGCUGGCGGCAGGCCUAACACAUGCAAGUCGAACGCUCUAGCAAUAGGGAGUGGCAGACGGGUGAGUAACGCGUGGGAACGUGCCUUUCGGAUCGGAAUCACUCAGGUAAACUUGAGCUAAUACCGGAUACGCCCUACGGUGGAAAGAUUUAUUGCCGAAAGAUCGGCACGCGUCCGAUUAGCGAGUUGGUGAGGUAAUGGCGGACCAGGGCGACGAUAGGAAGCUGGUCUGAGAGGAUGAGCAGCAACACUGGGACUGAGACACGGCGCAGACGCCGACGAGAGGCAGCAGUGGGGAAAAGUGGACAAUGGGCGCAAGGCUGGUCCAGCCAUGGCGCGAGGGUGAUGAAGGCGCUAGGGUUGUAAAGCGAUUUCGCCAGGGAGGAGAAUGACGGUACCUGGGUAAGAAGACCCGGCUAACUUCGUGCCAGCAGCCGCCGCCG